AGUAGAUUAUAAACUUGAGGUGCACAGAUAGGUGAAUGGACUUUAUGACUUGCAGAUAGGGUCCUUUAAAAAUUUUUUUUUUGCUCAGAUGGUGUUUGCAUGUCUGCAAUUAGCAAAUAAUAUUUCACAUAAAAAAUAUGCAUUUCUGACUUCCACUCAUCCCACCAAGAUAACAAAUGACUGGAGUUGAGAUAAGGUGGUCCCCUCUGGCAAUGUGUGCUUUCUGGAUUUCCUCCAAUGUUUCCACCUGGCCAGUUUUAGUCGUUUAUGGGAUCUAUUCAGCACUGCAAGCAUUCGAGUUUGUAAAUCCUGGUGUAACAGUAUCAUGUCUCUUCACUCAUGUAUAUGGAUGGUAGCCUGUGUGAUGUGUCAGUGCAUUCCCCUGAACUAUUCCCCAACACACCACAUGCUCUGUAUCUAUGCAUCUGUGUCCAUUUUCACUGUGUGUGACACACACACAGAGACAGACAGACACACACACACACACACACAUGCACACGCGCGCGCGUGGUAGAAGAAUUUGCCUUUGCCUUGUUCUUUUCUUUCCCUGCCCCCUCUCACUUAGCUCUCUGCAUAAUCCCUCUCUCGUAACCUUCAUCCCCACGAUGUAAGAAUUUAGCAUGCUCUCUACCCAACCGUAUUAAUAAAGCACUUAAAAAUAUGCAAUUUUAUUCAGGAUUAUUUAUCUAACUAUCUCUACUGAAGUGCUACUUCUGCAGCUCUUCAUUCUCAGCAGUUUCCCUGGGGGCAGCUUUGGGAGUCCGAAAACACUGACUGAACUAGAAAGCCAGGGAUGCCAGCUGCACACUCAAGUGUUCCCAGCCUAGUCAUCGCAGCAGGGGGCAAAGACAGGGCACUAACAGUGGAACCACGCCUUCUAUGGACUUAGCAUAGAAGAGCUUGGGAAGAAGAAGACUGUGUCUAAUUUUGCUCAUUGUUGUUUGUGAACAAAUGGUAGAUUCCCAGUACAUAUUUUAUAAAAGGGUGAAUGAACUUCCUACUGGUCAGAACUGGAGAUAAUAUUCAUCCCAAAGAGAAAAUGGGAAAACUACAGUGGUUGCAGUUCACAUAUUUGGAGGGAAAUCAAGGGCUUCUUUUCCUUUCCUUCUCCCACCAUUAUAACUAAAAGAGUUCGAUAAAUGUUUGCUUAUUGAGAUCCUAACUCAUCAUUGUGGCUCUCUUAACUUGAGUAUCUGCUGUGUAGGAGUUCUAAAUAGGUGCUGUCAUUUAAUUUAAGUUCCUCAGGGCCUCGUUGAGAUAGGCAAUAGCCACCAAAUUUCACAGAUUGGGAACAUGGAAACCAGAGAGGUUAAGUCAUUUGUCCAAGGCCACACAGCUUUCAAAUCAUGGACACUUGAUUCAGAUCUUGGCCAGCAAGGAUUCUGAGCCCUCUUUUCCCUCUGCACUUUAUUGGCUCACUGUAUUCCGUCAAAGCUCAAAGCAGGACAACAUGAAGACCAAUAGUCCCAAGAUGAAAUGUGCAAGAGGUUAAGUGGAUUUGACCAAGGUUCCCCCUACAUUCAUUCUGGGGUGGGGGAUGGAUUCAAAACCAAACCCCUUGGUCAUAACUUCAUGUUCACUUGAAAAUGAAAAGUGAGUGUUUUAUAGAUCCAUAGCUUCACAUUAUCUAUGGUAUUGUGAGAGAAGGAAGAUGGAUGGAGUGGGGCAAAGAGUAUAAUAAUCUUGUGAGGCUUUAUAUGGAGGGGUCAAGUGAGGAGAAGACGAGCUGGAAGGACGGGGAAGGCUAAGAAAGAAGAACUCGUAAGAGAGAUGUAUCUAAACUAUUUUAAAAAAUGGUUAAGGAGCUCAAGGAGAAAUAUAAAGAAGGAAGCACUCUAAAAGGUCAGAAAAAGUACUCAAGUAAGAAGCAAAGUAAUUUAAACAUAAAAAGAAAAACCUGCAGAUACUUUUUUCAUGCUUCAGAAAGCAUCUGUCUUAAACCUUGCAAUGUCCCAAUAAUUCAUUGCAAUCUUCUGCAAGGCACUAAAGUAUUUCACAGAGAUACUUUUUUUUUCUUCCUAAACUGAUGAAUCCCCGAGAUGGGUCCAAAUUCCCUUAAAAAUGAAAUGAAACUUUAAACUUUCUUUACAUUAACCUUAAAGAUAAUGAUGUGUUGGAACUUGCCCUGUAAAGGGCAUAUGGAGAUGGUCUGGUUACAAUUUCCUAUCUGUGUAGGUGACUUCAUUAUUCAGAUAUUGAUAUAUGAAAAUAUUAGUGCCAUGAGAUGAAACGGAAAACAGGGAAAGAAAAUGAAAAGAAGCACCCUCUUCUCACCAUCCUUUUUCUCCUCCAUUCAUUGGCUUACUCAUUCCACUGUUAACUGGGCAUCUCCUUUAUGUGUCAGUCACUGUAUGAGCCCCUUGAGAAAUAAUUGUACAAUAAGCAAAAAGAAACACAGUACCUGCUCUCCUGGGGCUCAAUAUCUCAUUAUCUCAGUGUGGGGGGGGGCAAAAAAGGAUAUAAUAAUUACUCUUAUGUGUAUUGAGAAAGGGUCUGCAUCCAUACCCCAUUUCUGGUCCAACACAUCAGCUUCAACGGUCACCCAGCCUGGCUUUCAGACUUAUAGGCUGGGGGCACUGGCUCAUUAUGUUAAGGAAAGAGGUGGCCCAUUAAGGCCAUAAUGAAGCACUGCACGGCUGACUUAGCCCCCAGUCAAUGUAGGAAAGGAAAGCUUGGCUGCUUUUAUUUCCCAAACCAACCGAUGGAGUUGGGUUCUCCCAGUGGUUUCUGAUGUGUUCUUUCUAGAACUUGUUUGAGAAAAUCAGUCAAGGCACUAAAUACAGAGGAGAGAGCCACCUGGAGUCGAAACUGACCUCCAGCUCACUGAAGCAAGCCAGCAUGAAUUUACACUGUUGGAUUUCUGCUCUCUGAACUUAAACUUUCUCCCCACUUUUUGAUCAGUUUGUCUGUACCCAAUAGAAUUGCUGUUGGAGAGGGCAGGUCAUUUUAUUCCUAGACAAUUGAAAGUUCCUCAUUUUAGGGAAACGAGUUUGUUUUUCCCAAAGUCACUGGCUGUAAUUCUACUCUCUGAUAUGACAAGCAAUCAACCACUCUUCUUUGGAGCUGUGGGGUCCAAAAGACUUAGCUCUAAGCCCAGCAUCAGCAUCUCCCAGCUGUGGAACCUGAGCAAACACUCAGAGGCCUUUCUAUUAAAUGGAGAGUGUUCUUCAUGAUCUAUUUCUCCAGAACAUAGUGUGAAGUAAGUGUAGGUAAUUGGGGCUAUGUGGCUUUUAGCCAUAUGGUAGCCAAGAGACAACCAUAGAUCAAAAUUCUCAUCUAGCCAACAUAAUAACCUGGGAGUGUUUGUUUUCUAUUCUCUGGGCAAAGAGAAAUAGAAGGACUUGUAUUGGUUUGACCUGGGAAAGUGCACAUCCUUAAACCAAUCAGAAUGAGCCAAAAAUGGACUACAUGGUUGGUGGAACUAUGGUGUUAGAGAAUCAGGAAGGGUAUGGAUGAGAGGAAAUAUAUCUAUGCCCUCUACUCUGUGGACUCUAAGAGCAGGCAGUUUACCCAGAUCACUCAUCAUCCUAGCCAAAGUUUUAAAAGGCAAAAAAGGAGUUCCUCACAAAGUUAAAUGUACAAUUAUGGAAUUACCAUAUGACUCAGCAGUUCCCAUCCUAGGUAGAUACCCCCAAAGAACUAAAGCUGGAAAUUGAAACAAUUAGGUGUCCAUCAUUACUCACAAGAGCCACAAGGUGGAAGCUAGCCAGAUGCCCAUCAAUGGGUGAAUGAACCAAAUCAUGGUUUAGUACAGAUAAGGGAAUAUUAUUCAGUCCUGAAAAAGGAAUGAAGCACUAAGACGCUACAAUGUGGAUGAACUUCAAAAACAGUAUGCUGAGUGGAAGAAGCUAGAUUCAAAAUAUUACACAUUGUAGGCCUCCAUUCAUAUGAUAUAUUCAGAACAGAUAAACCCAUAGAAAUAGAAAACAGAUCAGUGGUUGUCAGGGACAGUGGGGGAGGGAGGAGGAAUAUCGGCUUAAUGGGUACAGGGCUUUCAUCUGGGAUGAUGAAACAUUUUGGAACUAGGCAGGGGUGGUAGUUGCAUAACAUUGUGAAAUACACCGAAUGCCACUGAGGUGUUCACAUCAAAAUAGUUCAUUAUAAAACAAUCAAGGAGACCUAGGGUCAAGUCUUAGGGGAAAUAGGUAACUUGCUUGAGCCACACCUUUAUUUUGCAAAAAGGGCAGGGAAUGCCUCUGACUUUGAGUGAUGGUGAGAUUCAAACAAGCUAACGAUUCCUGGCAACUGCUAGUUGCUCAAUAAAUAACAAACAUAACCGCACCCUCGCCCCAACACACAUAUUUGCACAUUGACACUCAAAUAAUUCCUCAUCAGUAGGGUUACUUUGAAGAUGGACAUAACAUAUGUCAGGAACUUAUCUGCCAUGUGUUGUUAGCACGUAGCGUCAAGUCCACAUCCCCAUGUUUCUCAACAAUUAUUUUCUUUUUAUCUCCCCAUCGCUUAGGGUCGCCACCACUCUUUCCUGGAUGACCACAAAGAACUGCAUUCUCUGCUUGUGUUUUCUUUUCUACCACUGGAUUCUUCUCACAGCAGCCAAAGAACCCAUCUCAGAAACCACAGAGGAGUUUCCCUACCCAAUGAAAUCCCCUUACUGCACUUACGGUGAAUUCCAACCACCUUCGUAUAAAACCCUCAACGUCUGAUUCCUGCCAACCUCACUAAAUUCAUCCUUUUUUCCUCAGUGUGACCCCACCAGCGCCACCUUGUCCCAUGCUGGCUCUGUCCCUACUGAAAAGUCACUUCUUCAAAGCUGUUCUCUAACCAUCCUCUCCAAACCAGGGUCUCUGCAAUUGCUUUAUUCUUUGCCACGGCACCCUGUUUGCUUGCUUCAAAACUCGUCUUACCCUCCGCACUUUUUAAAUCGAAUUACUUUUUGCCCUUUAUCUUAUUCCUGAAGGCAGCUCUGCUGACUAACAGUGAUUGGUAUAUAGCUAAUGCUUCCUUCAGUGGUUGUUAAAUGAGAUCCAUAUGGGGAACCAAUUAUAGUCCUGAACAUGCUACAAAGUCUGCUUUGCCUCCAAGGACACAUCGAUGGAAUGUUUUCAGGGAUACACCUGUACUUAGCUUUCUAGAUGUCCCCUCUCUUUCUCUCUCCUCUGCCUUUUCCACAAGGAACGUGACUUGAGCACAAGGUGACAACCUGGUGAACUUUGAACCCUUCUUUUAUUUCUCAUUGUAUGUCUCUGGGAAACAUGAUGACAUCUGAGAAUUCAUUCCAUGACAGUUUUCCCUUCUUUCUCUCGUUUAUUUUGCCCAACACCAUCCUCUGAAAGGAAAAGCUAAUUGACCUCAAGCUUCAUUCCGGCUGAGCUUAGCCAAAAGUCAAUCACUGCCCAACGGCAGCUAUUCGGACUGUUUAGCCAAUGGACAAAUUUCCAUCUUGACUGGUGUUGCUGGUCCUAAGAGAAUAGAUGUGAAUGUGCUGAAUUCUAUUUUGAUACAUUUCAUUUUUGGCAAACCUGAGACAACCCCAAGGAGCCAUAUUAUUAUGAAAAGAGAGGGGCAGUGUGGAAAUAUUCCAUGGGAAUGUUUAUUCAGUUUCCAUUGCAUUCAGCUCUGUUGAGGGGGUUGCUGCUCCCUGCCCUUGUCAGAUAUGUGGAUCAUGACAAUCAAAUUGCAACAUGCUGCAAAGGGACUGCAAGUCUUCUCAUUGCUGAAGGCAAGCCUUCCCAGGCCAAAUAGAGGGUAACCCUUCUGGGGGAAAAAUAGCUCCUCAGUGGCUUAGCUUCCAGCAAGUGUGUGUUGCAUGUAACAUGUCAGAGUGAGCUAGGACAGGAAAUCCAGUUGGUUUUGGUUCCAUCCAUUUGCCAACAAAACCAUGAGGCAAGAAGGACUAUCCUUGGAUGGUGAAAGCUAAGAGAGGAAGGUGCCAUCUGUGAACUAAGCCUCCCCCCGACAAAAAAAAAGAAGGGGGGAACAGCCCCAAGCUUUUGUUCUCUCAUCCUGGAAUAUAACAUAUGUUCUGGGUCAUAGCCAGCACUUAAAAAUGAGCUUUUCUAGAUGCAAAUG
RNAcentral lists this long non-coding RNA (6030 nucleotides) under Sus scrofa (pig). RNAcentral's name for it is "lncRNA (ENSSSCG00040041543.1)". Lineage: Eukaryota; Metazoa; Chordata; Mammalia; Artiodactyla; Suidae. The record is from RNAcentral.